RNAcentral lists this ribosomal RNA (465 nucleotides) under uncultured bacterium. RNAcentral's name for it is "partial 16S ribosomal RNA". It matches the Rfam family "Bacterial small subunit ribosomal RNA", at positions 28 to 505 of the family's 1533-position model. The record is from RNAcentral.
GAUGAACGCUGACAGAAUGCUUAACACAUGCAAGUCAACUUGAAUUUGGGUUUUUAACUUAGGUUUGGGUGGCGGACGGGUGAGUAACGCGUAAAGAACUUGCCUCACAGCUAGGGACAACAUUUGGAAAUGAAUGCUAAUACCUAAUAUUAUGAUAAUAGGGCAUCCUAUAAUUAUGAAAGCUAUAAGCGCUGUGAGAGAGCUUUGCGUCCCAUUAGCUAGUUGGAGAGGUAACGGCUCACCAAGGCGAUGAUGGGUAGCCGGCCUGAGAGGGUGAUCGGCCACAAGGGGACUGAGACACGGCCCUUACUCCUACGGGAGGCAGCAGUGGGGAAUAUUGGACAAUGGACCGAGAGUCUGAUCCAGCAAUUCUGUGUGCACGAUGAAGUUUUUCGGAAUGUAAAGUGCUUUCAGUUGGGAAGAAACAAAUGACGGUACCAACAGAAGAAGUGACGGCUAAAUACG